CGCGUAGGCGGUCCUUUAAGUCAGAUGUGAAAGCCCGGGGCUCAACCCCGGAAGUGCAUUUGAAACUAAGGGACUUGAGUAUGGGAGAGGGAAGUGGAAUUCCUGGUGUAGCGGUGAAAUGCGUAGAUAUCAGGAGGAACACCGGUGGCGAAGGCGACUUCCUGGACCAAUACUGACGCUCAGGCGCGAAGGCAUGGGGAGCAAACA
RNAcentral lists this ribosomal RNA (207 nucleotides) under uncultured bacterium. RNAcentral's name for it is "partial 16S ribosomal RNA". It matches the Rfam family "Bacterial small subunit ribosomal RNA", at positions 568 to 774 of the family's 1533-position model. The record is from RNAcentral.